This is a long non-coding RNA of Syngnathus acus (greater pipefish), 2427 nucleotides long. RefSeq lists it as uncharacterized. The record is from RefSeq and is a predicted model, not a curated record. NCBI's taxonomy places the organism in Eukaryota, Metazoa, Chordata, Actinopteri, Syngnathiformes, Syngnathidae. The transcript is spliced from 3 exons.
UGCACUAGACUCUUUCCCAGAUUACACUACAGCAACAUCCCUUUUGUACUUGCAAAACAAUGAGUCAAGCAAUUAACGUGUGUAAUCUACAAAACAGAGGUGGCUACAUUCACAGUUUUUAUUUGUCUGUCCUGAUGUUUCAGAGUUAAACAUUUGCAUGACUGAAAGUAUUCAUAUGCAAUACUGACAUGAAAAUCAAUUUCCAGAUACCUGAUGGAGAUGGACUAUAUAAAGUCUGGGUCCUUGCUUUGUGCAACCAACUAGUAUUCCACACGGUUGUUUACAAAACACAAUAACUCUAGCUCACUCAUUGCUUUGCAGGAAAAUAUUUCUAGCACUGUUUUUUUCACUUAUUCACUGCCAUCUACCUCAAGAAGAUAUUUUUGGUGUCUUUCUUGACCUAAAGACUGACCUACAAUUAUUUUUCUAUUGUACUCCAAGGGAUACAUCUACAGGUAAAUUCCUUAUUUGCACAAAGAAAAUACAGAUUUGUUAUUAAUUCUUGCUAACAGUGUGUAGUUGGCACAUUGUGUCCUGGCUAAUUUGAUGUCUCGUGUUAAUUGUUUGAUACAAAACAAACCAUUUUUAUGAAAGUUUGAAGAGUUAAGUGAGACUUAUUUGCUUUUGCAAGAAACACGUCGUAAGAAAUUUUUGAAAUUUUGUAAAAGUUUUUCUUAUUUGUGUGAAUAGUUUUGUAAAAAAUAGCCAAAAGUUACAAAGAAUGUGCUUAGGUAAUCAGACAAAACUGUAUCAGGUAGCCCAGGUCAUUGUUCUGGACACUAGCAAUAGUGAAAAUAUUUUUGAUUUCACAACGCCACAGGUUCAUGUCAAGUUAAUCAUAAUACUGUUUUGCAGAAAAAUCAGACCGAAAAGAGUUUGCCCAUGAAAGGACUUCAUUGCUUCUGGUAAAGACAAACACACAUUUCAGAAAAGAUUCAUCAUGACUGAAAAAGACUAAGACCAACAAAACAAACAUCAUAACAUAACAUUAAAGAUGGACAUCUGAAUGUUUUGAUCAGGUGCAGAACAAUCAUUCAGAGGUGAUGAGUGACCUGAUACAAUCAUGCUCUCUUCCUGAAGAGAGCUAUUCAAUUAUGGUUUCUUUUUUUCACGAAACGUCUGACGAGAAUAAAGUAAACCAAAAAAUAGAAAAAAAAGAAAAAGAAGAGAAAAUAGAAGAAGUUUCAUGGAAACCAGCCACCCACCUACCUGAUAAAAGCAAACCCCCAAGGUUGUAUUGAGGUAAAAAUGUCCUCAGACACUUCAUCUCAUAGAGUCUAUGAUAAGAAGAAUCACGGCCUUUACUGUGAGCAGAAGCACGCUGAGAAAACUGAAGUGGCGGAGGCACUUGCACACAACCAAGGGACAUCUACAUGGAAUCUUCUUUUCAGCUAAUGGAUUAAUAUGAGAAAGUACCACCUCAAUUGCUCAGUUCUUUCCUCUGGAAAAUGACUAAUUGUACCCAAACGACAAGCACUUCACCCAUCCAUUGAAGCAGACUACUUGCCUUGCGAGUUCUGUUUUGCAAUGUAUAUAAGGACAGACCUCUGGAGACAUCACAAGCGUUGCAAAUUCAAAGUGACCAAGGUUGGCCCAGUGAAAAGAAAGAUCCUAUCCACUGCUUCCCUGAUGUUGCCAAUUACUGAUCAACUGAUAAAGAUUUUGGAAGGCAUGACUACGAUAUUGUCACUCAAGUCAGAUGUGCGCAUAAUUGCCUUAGGUGAGAAGAUGUUUGUUGUUAAGUCAGAUGUGCUCAUAAUUUCCGUAGGUGAGAAGAUGCAAAAUGGAUAAGUGGGACGACACCAUGCUGACAUGAGAAAUAAAAUGAGGGAGCUUGGCAGACUAGUUAUAUCAGCCAAGAAAAUUGACCACAACAUAAUAUUUUUGAGGAACCUGAUAGAUCCUGUGAAGUUCAAUUCACUUCUGGAGGCGGUUAAAUCCAUGACUGGAUUCGACAACGCCAUUAACAGAUUUGGUACUCCAGCAACGGCACUGAAACUGCGGCAUUCACUCUUAAGUGUGUCAAAGAUAUUGCAAGAAGCAUUACGUCAACAAGAUGAGGCCUUGAGGAUAAAUGCGGAGCAGUUUUCAGUUAAUUGAAAUGGAAUGGACUUCACAUGUCCUCUAAUGUGCUUAAGACUUUAGACCAGAAGAAAUGGAACAGCACCCAACCACUCCCUCUGAGGACAUCAGGAAACUGCAUGAGUACUUGAAACAUCUUGAAGAGGUCCACAAAAAGGCAUUGAUUGAAAAUGCUUCCCAAAAAUCAUGUAGUGAGCUCCCUAAGGUUACAAGCAAAAUGUCAGCCAAGCUCAAAUUGUUGCAGGACAACAAUCUUAGUUGUUUUAGAUUAAAAUUUUGGAUGCUAAUUUGUGACAUAUUGUGGAGACACUGUCUAUGUGAAAAGUGAACUACAUUUUGAUUUUA